Molecule: ribosomal RNA, 981 nt
Filed under: Triticum aestivum (bread wheat)
Lineage: Eukaryota; Viridiplantae; Streptophyta; Magnoliopsida; Poales; Poaceae
Description: partial small subunit ribosomal RNA
Source: RNAcentral
GAGGAGCUGCAGGAGCACGAGGAACAUCUACGCGUGACCUUGGACCUUCUCCCCGAGCAUCAACUGUUCGCCAAGGCCUCCAAGUGCUCGUUUACACAAACUAGCAUCGAGUACUUGGGCCAUAUCAUCUCCAAGGACGGCGUGGCAACGGACCCCAGCAAGACCAGUGCGAUGAACGCCUGGCCCGUUCCAACAAACCAAACCGAGUUGCGUGGUUUCCUCGGCUUAACUGGCUACUACCGCAAGUUCGUACCCCACUACGGCAUCAUCGCCAAGCCCCUGACACAGCUGCUCACCAAGAAAGGCUUCGAGUGGAACGAGAAGGCCCAGGACGCAUUCUUCAUGCUCAAGAAGGCGAUGGUGAGCACAACCGUGCUCGCACUGCCGGACUGUGCGCGCCCAUUCACCAUCGAGACCGAUGCUUGUGACACUGGCUUGGGCGCGGUGCUCAUGCAAGAUGGUCACCCUGUGGCCUACCUUAGCAAGGCCUUGGGCGUGCGCAAUCAGAAGCUUUCAACCUACAAAAAGGAAUUCUUGGCGGUGAUGAUGGCAAUAGACAAGUGGAGACCAUAUCUUCAGCGGGCGCCAUUCGAGAUCGUCACCGACCACAAGAGCCUCUGCGCCCUUGGCGACCAACAAUUGGCGACGGAACUGCAGCGCAAGGCCAUGGCGAAGAUGGUCGGCCUCCAAUUUACCUUCCGCUACAAGCGCGGCACCAACAACGGUGCAGCGGAUGCGCUGUCGCGUGUCGGCCACCUGAUGGCUCUCGACGCGCUAUCCCUGUGCCAACCACAAUGGCUCCAGGAGGUCGCAAACUCUUAUGCGGCGGACCAGGACGACCAGGAGUUGCUCGCCAAGCUAGCCGUCAUCGACACCGACGACCAGGGGCGCACCCUGCAGCAAGGCGUCAUCAGACAGCGCGGGCGCCUCUGGAUUGGCGCAAAUUCAGCCCUGCAGACGAAGCUCAUCUUGGCGCUGCAC